Molecule: ribosomal RNA, 444 nt
Filed under: uncultured bacterium
Lineage: Bacteria
Description: bacterial SSU rRNA
Rfam family: Bacterial small subunit ribosomal RNA
Source: RNAcentral
CCAGACUCCUACGGGAGGCAGCAGUGGGGAAUAUUGCACAAUGGGGGAAACCCUGAUGCAGUGACGCCGCGUGAGUGAGGAAGUAUUUCGGUAUGUAAAGCUCUAUCAGCAGGGAAGAAAAUGACGGUACCUGAGUAAGAAGCCCCGGCUAACUACGUGCCAGCAGCCGCGGUAAUACGUAGGGGGCAAGCGUUAUCCGGAUUUACUGGGUGUAAAGGGAGCGUAGACGGCAGUGCAAGUCUGGAGUGAAAGCCCGGGGCCCAACCCCGGGACUGCUCUUGGAACUGCGCGGCUGGAGUGCAGGAGGGGCAGGCGGAAUUCCUGGUGUAGCGGUGAAAUGCGUAGAUAUCAGGAGGAACACCGGCGGCGAAGGCGGCCUGCUGGACUGAAACUGACGUUGAGGCUCGAAAGCGUGGGGAGCAAACAGGAUUAGAUACCCCUGUA